CUAGUACUCCCUCCGUCCGAAAAUACUUGUCAUCAAAAUGGACAAAAAAGGAUGUAUCUAGAACUAAAAUACAUCUAGAUACAUCCAUUUUUAUUUAUUUUGAUGACAAGUAUUUCUGGACAGAGGGGGUAUAUG
Triticum aestivum (bread wheat) is the source of this 135-nucleotide non-coding RNA. NCBI's taxonomy places the organism in Eukaryota, Viridiplantae, Streptophyta, Magnoliopsida, Poales, Poaceae. The record is from Rfam.